AUUGAACGCUGGCGGCAGGCCUAACACAUGCAAGUCGAACGAGUGGCGGACGGGUGAGUAAUGUCUGGGAAACUGCCAGAUGGAGGGGGAUAACUACUGGCAACGGUAGCUAAUACCGCAUACCAUCGGAUGUGCACAGAUGGGAUUAGCUUGUAGGUGUGGUAAAGGCUCACCUAGGCGACGAUCCCUAGCUGGUCUGAGAGGAUAAACAGCCACACUGGAACUGAGACACGGUCCAGACUCCUACGGGAUGCAGCAGUGGGGAAUAUUGCACUAUGGGCGCAAGCCUGAUGCAGCCAUGCCGCGUGUAUGAAGAAGGCCUUCGGGUUGUAAAGUACUUUCAGCGAGGAGGCGUUACUCGCAGAAGAAGCACCGGCUAACUCCGUGCCAGCAGCCGCGGUAAUAC
RNAcentral lists this ribosomal RNA (406 nucleotides) under uncultured bacterium. RNAcentral describes it as "partial 16S ribosomal RNA". It matches the Rfam family "Bacterial small subunit ribosomal RNA", at positions 30 to 526 of the family's 1533-position model. The record is from RNAcentral.